UACGGAGGGGGCUAGCGUUGUUCGGAAUUACUGGGCGUAAAGCGCACGUAGGCGGCUUUGUAAGCUAGAGGUGAAAGCCCAGGGCUUAACCCUGGAAUUGCCUUUAAGACUGCAUCGCUAGAAUCGUGGAGAGGUGAGUGGAAUUCCGAGUGUAGAGGUGAAAUUCGUAGAUAUUCGGAAGAACACCAGUGGCGAAGGCGACUCACUGGACACGUAUUGACGCUGAGGUGCGAAAGCGUGGGGAGCAAACAGG
Molecule: ribosomal RNA, 253 nt
Filed under: uncultured bacterium
Lineage: Bacteria
Description: partial 16S ribosomal RNA
Rfam family: Bacterial small subunit ribosomal RNA
Source: RNAcentral